RNAcentral lists this ribosomal RNA (377 nucleotides) under uncultured crenarchaeote. RNAcentral's name for it is "bacterial SSU rRNA". It matches the Rfam family "Archaeal small subunit ribosomal RNA", at positions 961 to 1338 of the family's 1478-position model. Lineage: Archaea; Thermoproteati; Thermoproteota. The record is from RNAcentral.
GAAGGUCUUGCUAGACGAGCUGAGAGGAGGUGCAUGGCCAUCGCCAGUUCGUGCCGUGAGGUGUCCUCUUAAGUGAGGUAACGAACGAGACCCCCACCCCAUGUUGCCAUCAGGAUCUAAAGGAUCGCUGGGCACUCUUGGGGGACCGCUGCCGACAAGGCUGAGAAGGUGGGGGCCACGGUAGGUCAGUAUGCCCCGAAUAUCCUGGGCCACACGCGGGCUGCAAUGGUAGGGACAGAGGGCUGCAACAUCGAGAGAUGGAGCCAAUCCCUAAACCCUACCUCAGUUGGGAUCGAGGGCUGCAACCCGCCCUCGUGAACAUGGAAUGCCUAGUAACCGCGCGUCAUCAUCGCGCAGUGAAUACGUCCCUGCUCCUU